UGGGGAAUCUUGCGCAAUGGGCGAAAGCCUGACGCAGCCAUGCCGCGUGAAUGAUGAAGGUCUUAGGAUUGUAAAAUUCUUUCACCGGGGACGAUAAUGACGGUACCCGGAGAAGAAGCCCCGGCUAACUUCGUGCCAGCAGCCGCGGUAAUACGAAGGGGGCUAGCGUUGCUCGGAAUUACUGGGCGUAAAGGGAGCGUAGGCGGACAUUUAAGUCAGGGGUGAAAUCCCGGGGCUCAACCUCGGAAUUGCCUUUGAUACUGGGUGUCUUGAGUGUGAGAGAGGUAUGUGGAACUCCGAGUGUAGAGGUGAAAUUCGUAGAUAUUCGGAAGAACACCAGUGGCGAAGGCGACAUACUGGCUCAUUACUGACGCUGAGGCUCGAAAGCGUGGGGAGCAAACAGGAUUAGAUACCCUGGUAGUCCACGCCGUAAACGAUGAUUGCUAGUUGUCGGGAUGCAUGCAUUUCGGUGACGCAGCUAACGCAUUAAGCAAUCCGCCUGGGGAGUACGGUCGCAAGAUUAAAACUUAAAUGAAUUGACGGGGUCAUAGCUGUUUCCUG
Molecule: ribosomal RNA, 561 nt
Filed under: uncultured bacterium
Lineage: Bacteria
Description: partial 16S ribosomal RNA
Rfam family: Bacterial small subunit ribosomal RNA
Source: RNAcentral